Molecule: long non-coding RNA, 1042 nt
Filed under: Sorghum bicolor (sorghum)
Lineage: Eukaryota; Viridiplantae; Streptophyta; Magnoliopsida; Poales; Poaceae
Description: long non-coding RNA (SBIC_LNC010857)
Source: RNAcentral
CCUACUCUAAUAAGGCUUUAAUAUCUGGAGCUCAUAGGUGGGAGAUAAAAUAUACAUACUUACAAGACAUGUAUUGUAUAGUCAAACCAUGGAUCCAAAGAAACAAAUCAAUAAGUCAAAUCAAGAUGUGCAUGUGUGGCGAAUGAGUGGUGUAUGGUGAUGAUGGUGAUAACAAUGGUGGAAAUCUAAUUCUACUUUUGCUCUUUGAGGGGAUACAUACCUUCCUUGCUUUUUGAAACAUUUUGAGGAGAAUGAGAUGCUCUUCUUUUUCUUUUCUCUCAGGUGGGUAUCUUGUACCCCUAAUUCUACUGUCGGACACUUGUCCAUUUUUACCUCUCGUCUCACUCUUUUUCUUUUCUUUCGAGGUUCCGGGCACUUGCCCCUUUUUAUUUCCUCGUAUCUCUUUUUUUUAAGCACUCAUCUCUUGAGAUAAUAUAGCAAGUGGUAGUAACAAGAUAACUUGAGCAUUUAUUUCACAAGGGAAAAACAGAAAUGUUUUUGGCUAUUCUCUCCCGAACUAGGAGUAGAAUAUUUUUAGGUGAUUCUGGAGAUGGAAAUGGAUGGAUAUAUGUGGAUGGUACUUCCAGAGUAGAAGUAGCAUAUAUGAGUGAACGUGCAAGUGAAUCUUGAUUUAACCACAUGACAAGCUCCUAAGGGUCUACACAGCUUGACCACACUCAAUGCUCAUAAGCAGUAAAAAGUAAAUGUAUGGCUCAAAGUCUAGCAAGCAUGUAUAUAUGGCUAUUGUAGGAAUUUAAACUCUCAUCAUACAGGAACUCAUCAUGCAAUAUUUUAAAGAUUUUCAAAGAUAAAAUUCUCCAGAAUUCUAGCAUCUCUAGGAACAGAUAAACAUCAGCUCAACCUUCCCAUAUCAUAUCCGUUAACAACUUAGACUUCACAUCAAGUUUUCAUCCCACAAGUUUAGGUCUAGAGCAAGCUUUAAAUUAUAACAGUUAUAUCUAAACUUGAGAGAGAACUUAAAAUGUGCAAAUUAGGUAGAGCAACUAUUCAUCAUAUCCAUGCUAGAGUUUUAUUUAGAUAC